UACGGGAGGCAGCAGUGGGGAAUAUUGCACAAUGGGCGCAAGCCUGAUGCAGCCAUGCCGCGUGUAUGAAAAAGGCCUUCGGGUUGUAAAGUACUUUCAGUCGUGAGGAAGGUGUUAAGGUUAAUAACCUUAGCAAUUGACGUUAGCGACAGAAGAAGCACCGGCUAACUCCGUGCCAGCAGCCGCGGUAAUACGGAGGGUGCGAGCGUUAAUCGGAAUUACUGGGCGUAAAGGGCACGCAGGCGGUUAAUUAAGUUGGAUGUGAAAUCCCCGGGCUUAACCUGGGAAUGGCAUUCAAGACUGGUUAGCUAGAGUCUUGUAGAGGGGGUAGAAUUCCGAUGUGUAGCGGUGAAAUGCGUAGAGAUGUGGAGGAAUACCGGUGGCGAAGGCGGCCCCUGGGACAAAGACUGACGCUCAUGUGCGAAAGCGUGGGGAGCAAACGAGGGAUUAGAUACC
This 456-nucleotide ribosomal RNA is filed under the name uncultured bacterium. RNAcentral's name for it is "bacterial SSU rRNA". It matches the Rfam family "Bacterial small subunit ribosomal RNA", at positions 340 to 786 of the family's 1533-position model. The record is from RNAcentral.